This 497-nucleotide ribosomal RNA is filed under the name uncultured bacterium. RNAcentral describes it as "partial 16S ribosomal RNA". It matches the Rfam family "Bacterial small subunit ribosomal RNA", at positions 28 to 507 of the family's 1533-position model. The record is from RNAcentral.
GAUGAACGCUGGCGGCGUGCCUAAUACAUGCAAGUCGAGCGAACAGACGAGGAGCUUGCUCCUUUGACGUUAGCGGCGGACGGGUGAGUAACACGUGGAUAACCUACCUAUCAGACUGGGAUAACUUCGGGAAACCGGAGCUAAUACCGGAUAAUCUAUUGAACCGCAUGGUUCAAUAGUGAAAGACGGUUUUGCUGUCACUUAUAGAUGGUUCCGCGCCGCAUUAGCUAGUUGGUAAGGUAACGGCUUACCAAGGCGACGAUGCGUAGCCGACCUGAGAGGGUGAUCGGCCACACUGGAACUGAGACACGGUCCAGACUCCUACGGGAGGCAGCAGUAGGGAAUCUUCCGCAAUGGGCGAAAGCCUGACGGAGCAACGCCGCGUGAGUGAUGAAGGUCUUCGGAUCGUAAAACUCUGUUAUUAGGGAAGAACAAAUGUGUAAGUAACUAUGCACGUCUUGACGGUACCUAAUCAGAAAGCCACGGCUAACUACGUG